UCGACGAACUUCUUUAUCACCGAGUGCUUGCACUCACCGAUAAAGAGUUGAGUGGCGAACGGGUGAGUAACACGUGGGCAACCUGCCCAAAAGAGGGGGAUAACACUUGGAAACAGGUGCUAAUACCGCAUAACCAUAGUUACCGCAUGGUAACUAUGUAAAAGGUGGCUAUGCUACCGCUUUUGGAUGGGCCCGCGACGCAUUAGCUAGUUGGUGGGGUAAAGGCUUACCAAGGCAAUGAUGCGUAGCCGAACUGAGAGGUUGAUCGGCCACAUUGGGACUGAGACACGGCCCAAACUCCUACGGGAGGCAGCAGUAGGGAAUCUUCCACAAUGGGCGAAAGCCUGAUGGAGCAACGCCGCGUGGGUGAAGAAGGUCUUCGGAUCGUAAAACCCUGUUGUUAGAGAAGAAAGUGCGUGAGAGUAACUGUUCACGUUUCGACGGUAUCUAACCAGAAAGCCACGGCUAACUACGUGCCAGCAGCCGCGGUAAUACGUAGGUGGCAAGCGUUAUCCGGAUUUAUUGGGCGUGAAGAGAACGCAGGCGGUCUUUUAAGUCUGAUGUGAAAGCCUUCGGCUUAACCGGAGUAGUGCAUUGGAAACUGGGAGACUUGAGUGCAGAAGAGGAGAGUGGAACUCCAUGUGUAGCGGUGAAAUGCGUAGAUAUAUGGAAGAACACCGGUGGCGAAAGCGGCUCUCUGGUCUGUAACUGACGCUGAGGUUCGAAAGCGUGGGUAGCAAACAGGAUUAGGUACCCUGGUAGUC
RNAcentral lists this ribosomal RNA (764 nucleotides) under uncultured bacterium. RNAcentral's name for it is "bacterial SSU rRNA". It matches the Rfam family "Bacterial small subunit ribosomal RNA", at positions 62 to 795 of the family's 1533-position model. The record is from RNAcentral.